This 464-nucleotide ribosomal RNA is filed under the name uncultured bacterium. RNAcentral's name for it is "bacterial SSU rRNA". It matches the Rfam family "Bacterial small subunit ribosomal RNA", at positions 338 to 795 of the family's 1533-position model. The record is from RNAcentral.
CCUANGGGUGGCAGCAGUCGAGAAUUUUUCUCAAUGGGGGAAACCCUGAAGGAGCGACGCCGCGUGAAGGAUGAAGGUCUUCGGAUUGUAAACUUCUGUCAUUUGAGAACAAACUGCACGGAUUAACUGUCUGUGCACUGAUAGUAUCAGAAGAGGAAGAGACGGCUAACUCUGUGCCAGCAGCCGCGGUAAUACAGAGGUCUCGAGCGUUGUUCGGAUUCAUUGGGCGUAAAGGGUGCGUAGGUGGCGGGGUAAGUCGGAUGUGAAAUCCCGGAGCUCAACUCCGGAACUGCAUUCGAUACUGCUUUGCUAGAGUACUGGAGAGGAGAUCGGAAUUUACGGUGUAGCAGUGAAAUGCGUAGAUAUCGUAAGGAAGACCAGUGGCGAAGGCGGAUCUCUGGACAGUUACUGACACUGAGGCACGAAGGCCAGGGGAGCAAACGGGAUUAGAUACCCCGNUANUC